RNAcentral lists this ribosomal RNA (644 nucleotides) under uncultured bacterium. RNAcentral's name for it is "bacterial SSU rRNA". It matches the Rfam family "Bacterial small subunit ribosomal RNA", at positions 878 to 1532 of the family's 1533-position model. The record is from RNAcentral.
GANUACGNCCGCAAGGUUAAAACUCAAAGGAAUUGACGGGUCCCCNCANNAGCAGCGGAGCGUGUGGUUUANUUCGUUGCUACACGAAGAACCNUACCUGGGUUUGACAUAGCAGUGGUAGGGAAGAGAAAUCGGACCGACCCUUCGGGGAGCUGUUACAGGUGUUGCAUGGCUGUCGUCAGCUCGUGUCGUGAGAUGUUCGGUUAAGUCCGCUAACGAGCGCAACCCGCGUUGUGUGUUAUAUGUGUCACACAAUACCGCCGGUAUUAAGCCGGAGGAAGGUGCGGAUGACGUCAAGUCAGCAUGACCUUUAUAUCCAGGGCUACACACACGCUACAAUGGACAGUACAACAGGUUGCCAAGCCGCGAGGCGGAGCCAAUCCUCUAAAGCUGUCCUCAGUUCAGAUUGCAGGCUGCAACUCGCCUGCAUGAAGUUGGAGUUGCUAGUAACCGCAGGUCAGCUAUACUGCGGUGAAUACGUUCCCGGGGAUUGUACACACCGCCCGUCAAGUCAUGGAAGCUGGCAACACCUGAAGCCGGUAUCCUAACCCGUAAGGGAGGGAGCUGUCAAAGGUGGGGUUGGUGACUGGGACUAAGUCGUAACAAGGUAGGUGUACCGGAAGGUGCGGCUGGAUCACCUCCUU